UGUGUAUGUAGUUUAAAUAAAACUUUACAUUUUCAUUGUAAAAAUAGAACCUUUCUCAUACAC
This 63-nucleotide transfer RNA is filed under the name Coleoptera sp. ACP-2013. Its description in RNAcentral is "tRNA-Glu". The record is from RNAcentral. Lineage: Eukaryota; Metazoa; Arthropoda; Insecta; Coleoptera.